Molecule: long non-coding RNA, 309 nt
Organism: Hibiscus syriacus
Lineage: Eukaryota; Viridiplantae; Streptophyta; Magnoliopsida; Malvales; Malvaceae
Exons: 4
Source: RefSeq, a predicted model, not a curated record
UUGUUGAAGCUCAAAAUUGUUCAAAACUCAACUUUUUAUCUCUCUCUUGAUAGAUUAAGUUAAAGGUUAUACUUCCUUACUUUGAGCUCCAAACCAAGCUCACCACCUCCUUGGAAGAAUGGUGUAAGUUAAGAUGCAAGGAGAGACUUCCAAAGCUAAGGAGAAGGGGGUUGUCAUUGAAGGUUGAGGAAGGAAGUUUCUUUCUUGAAACUUGGAGGUACUCGUGACUCUCUCAAUCGUUCGACAGCUCGACUCAGCUCCUCUCGAUCCGUUCAAUCCCGUUCGAGCACUGCUGCAAAGUGUGUCAAG